GUCGCUCCAUAUCCUUGUUCACCAUCAUCUUUUGGCGUAAUUCCAGCUUAUCUCGCUCCCACAGCUGAAGCACAUUUGUAGCAAAAUCUCGCAUACAAUCAACCACCUCUUUUUCCGAGACCCUUUCAAAUGCUUGUGACCAAUGAUUACAAAUGACAAAAAUAGGGGGAGCACCAAUCCUGCCAGGAGAAAAGGGAGCUAUUCCAUCGUCUGUUUCUUCCGGUACAUAUAGAAGACACUUCAUAAGCCAACUGUUCAAU
Molecule: unclassified non-coding RNA, 260 nt
Filed under: Hevea brasiliensis (rubber tree)
Lineage: Eukaryota; Viridiplantae; Streptophyta; Magnoliopsida; Malpighiales; Euphorbiaceae
Source: RNAcentral